Molecule: ribosomal RNA, 670 nt
Filed under: uncultured Ralstonia sp.
Lineage: Bacteria; Pseudomonadati; Pseudomonadota; Betaproteobacteria; Burkholderiales; Burkholderiaceae
Description: bacterial SSU rRNA
Rfam family: Bacterial small subunit ribosomal RNA
Source: RNAcentral
GGCGAGUGGCGAACGGGUGAGUAAUACAUCGGAACGUGCCCUGUAGUGGGGGAUAACUAGUCGAAAGAUUAGCUAAUACCGCAUACGACCUGAGGGUGAAAGUGGGGGACCGCAAGGCCUCAUGCUAUAGGAGCGGCCGAUGUCUGAUUAGCUAGUUGGUGAGGUAAAGGCUCACCAAGGCGACGAUCAGUAGCUGGUCUGAGAGGACGAUCAGCCACACUGGGACUGAGACACGGCCCAGACUCCUACGGGAGGCAGCAGUGGGGAAUUUUGGACAAUGGGCGAAAGCCUGAUCCAGCAAUGCCGCGUGUGUGAAGAAGGCCUUCGGGUUGUAAAGCACUUUUGUCCGGAAAGAAAUGGCUCUGGUUAAUACCUGGGGUCGAUGACGGUACCGGAAGAAUAAGGACCGGCUAACUACGUGCCAGCAGCCGCGGUAAUACGUAGGGUCCAAGCGUUAAUCGGAAUUACUGGGCGUAAAGCGUGCGCAGGCGGUUGUGCAAGACCGAUGUGAAAUCCCCGAGCUUAACUUGGGAAUUGCAUUGGUGACUGCACGGCUAGAGUGUGUCAGAGGGGGGUAGAAUUCCACGUGUAGCAGUGAAAUGCGUAGAGAUGUGGAGGAAUACCGAUGGCGAAGGCAGCCCCCUGGGAUAACACUGACGCUCAUGCACGA